GUACAGGGACGCUUUAGAAGUGAUGUUGCCGGGCGAUGGUUGACCCGGUCGUAAGGGAUCGAAAAUGAGUAGAGAAGUCAUCAUGGAAAGAGACAAGAAAAGCUGUAUGAAUAUCUUAGGUGCCCGUACCGCAAACCGACACAGGUAGAUAGGAAGAAGAUUCUAAGGCCAACGGGAGAAGGGUUGUUAAGGAACUCGGCAAGUUGACCCCGUAACUUAGGGAUAAGGGGUGCUCAAGUGAUUGAGCCGCAGAGAAUAGGCCCAGGCGACUGUUUAGCAAAAACACAGGUCUCUGCUAAAUCGAAAGAUGACGUAUAGGGGCUGACACCUGCCCGGUGCCGGAAGGUUAAGAGGAGAUGUGAGAGCAUUGAAUUGAAGCCCCGGUAAACGGCGGCCGUAACAAUAACGGUCCUAAGGUAGCGAAAUUCCUUGUCAGGUAAGUUCUGACCCGCACGAAAGGUGUAACGAUCUGGGCACUGUCUCAACAACCCGCCCGGCGAAAUUGUAGUACCGGUGAAGAUGCCGGUUACCCGCGACUAGACGGAAAGACCCCAUGGAGCUUUACUGUAGCCUAAUAUUGGAUUUCGGUAUUUCACGUACAGGAUAGGUGGGAGACUGGGAAGCACAGGCGUCAGCUUGUGUGGAGUCGACCUUGGGAUACCACUCUUGGAGUGCUGGAAUUCUAACCUGCGGCUUUGAAGCAAGUCGGGGGACAUUGUUAGGUGGGCAGUUUGACUGGGGCGGUCGCCUCCUAAAGAGUAACGGAGGCGCUCAAAGGUUCGCUCUGCAUGGAUGGAAACCAUGCGUCAGAGUGUAAACGCAAAAGCGAGCCUAACUGCGAGAAUGACGGUUCGAGCAGUAACGAAAGUUGGAGUUAGUGAUCCGGCGGUAUGUGAAUGGAAAUGCCGUCGCUCAACGGAUAAAAGCUACCCUGGGGAUAACAGGCUGAUCUCCCCCAAGAGUCCACAUCGACGGGGAGGUUUGGCACCUCGAUGUCGGCUCAUCGCAUCCUGGGGCUGAAUUCGGUCCCAAGGGUUUGGCUGUUCGCCAAUUAAAGCGGUACGCGAGCUGGGUUCAGAACGUCGUGAGACAGUUCGGUCCCUAUCUGUCGUGGGCGUAGGAUAUUUGCAAGGAGCUGUCCCUAGUACGAGAGGACCGGGAUGGACGCACCUCUGGUGCACCAGUUGUCACGCCAGUGGCACAGCUGGGCAGCUAUGUACGGAACGGGUAAACGCUGAAGGCAUCUAAGCGUGAAGCCGCCCUUAAGAUAAGAUAUCCCUUCUGUUUACAGAGUAAGACCCCUUGAAGACUACAAGGUUGAUAGGCUCAAAGUGUAAGCACGGUGACGUGUUUAGCUAGCGAGUACUAAUCGGUCGAGGGCUUAACCG
RNAcentral lists this ribosomal RNA (1388 nucleotides) under metagenome. RNAcentral's name for it is "bacterial LSU rRNA". It matches the Rfam family "Bacterial large subunit ribosomal RNA", at positions 1464 to 2925 of the family's 2925-position model. The record is from RNAcentral.